CCACAUGGAUUAAGUAAAAUAAAUAAAAAAAAAGAUUCGAGAUUUCUGCUAUCUUGCUUUCACGGCAUAAAAGGAAAAGUUUUCUGUACAAAAUUGUUACUGGCGAUGAAAAAUGAAAAAUACAUCUGAUAUGAUU
Molecule: long non-coding RNA, 136 nt
Organism: Apis dorsata (giant honeybee)
Lineage: Eukaryota; Metazoa; Arthropoda; Insecta; Hymenoptera; Apidae
Exons: 3
Source: RefSeq, a predicted model, not a curated record